GAAAAAGCUAAUGAAAAAUGAAAAGAAUAGAGGUAGAGAAUAAGGCAAGGCAAAUGAGAGAAGAGGAGGGAAAGUUUUUCAAAAAAGUUAUAGAGAGAGGGAGAUAGAGAGACAUAGUUUUCAAGAAAAAAAACUUUUUUGAAUUAAAGAGGGAAGGGUCUAAAAGGAAAAUGAAAAUAAGAGUGAGAGGGAAAAUUUUCUAGAAAAAUUAAAGAAAAAGUUGUAUUUCCCCAACACCUUUUAUGGAAAAUAGAGGGAUUAAUUAGCAUUAAAUAGAAAAGAUAUUUCUUUUAUGGAAAAUUGUGUUUGCACGCUAAAAUGUUUUCUUUCAUUUUUUUUGGAAAAUUCUCUAUCUCUCUCUCUCUCUCAUUUUUCAUUUUCCUUUUAGACAUUUCCCUCUCUCAUUAAAAAAAGUUUUUUUUUUGGAAAACUCUCCCUCUCCCUAUAACUUUUUUAGAAAACUUUCAUUCUCUUUCUUUCAUUUACCAUGCAUUCUUCUCUUCCUCUCUUCUUUUCAUUUUUCAUUAGCUUUUUUGAAUCAAGGCUAACGGUAAAGAAAGAGAUAUAAGACAAUAAAAAUGGAGGAAGACGGAGAAACAAAGAUUGAAGAUCGAUGACGCCAAUCUAAUUAGCGCCACCCAAAAAUUUUUCUGCCUUCUAUGAAAUACUAUUAUUUAUACGGCCGAAUACAUUGCACCACCCAAAAAAAAUUAUUUUUUAUUCUCCGGCCAAUCAUUGGCUGAUGUGCCAGGGUGGUGACGCCAAUCUUAUUGGCACCAUCCAUGUUCACUGUUCAUUUCAAGUCAUUUAUGCACUUAGUUGAAAAAGUGAGUCAUUUUUGUAAAUAAUCAAAAAAAUUAGGUCAUUUUAGUAAAAAAAUUGAGAAAAGGCAACCUUGCAAAAAUAAUAUGGCAUCCAACAGCAUUAGCGCCACCGAUCUAAUCAAGAUGGGAUAAGGCUGGAUACAUGAUUGACUACCAAAAGGUUGGUGGUGGUCUAUUAUUUUGCUUGAGAGAAUCAAAGAACCCAAAAAUCAAUGAGCUGCUAAUGAGACCUCAAAGAGAAGCCAAUCAUAACCUCGACCUAAAUAGGCUGAGCAGCACCAUCUCACAGUCUGUUGAUGGUUAAAGACAAUCAAGAUUCGACAAAGAAAGAAAAGGAAAUAACAGUAGAAGGAAAAAGAAAACUAGAGGAAAAGGCUCCAAACUUUCCAAGUCGGAGAGAAUGAUAGAGAUGGAGGGUAGGCCGAUGGUGCAAGUGUCACAGGGCUAGAACUUUAGUCUGGCAAACCGUGCAACCUUCAGCGGUUUCUUAAAUGAUUUGAUUACAUAGAAAGUGACAUUCUUUAGAUCUUAUGCAUGUUUUGAGUUAUAUAUAGGAAUGUAUAUGAUAUUAGAUAUUUAUUAUAUAAUUGUUUUUUGUCGAGGUUGUGGUUCUUAGGAAAUAGACCGUGAACUAUCAUAUCCACGUAGAGCUAUAUUUUUUAAAAAUUCUUAGAAUUCUUGUGAGUCAAAACAGACAUAGGACUUAAAUGCAAUUUUCCCAAAAGAAAUCCAUGACGAGGAAAAGAUGUGAUGGCGGUUGAAGACCCAAGGGAUGCAUUAUGGUGAAAAAUUAUGUAAUUUUAUUUUUCCAUUUAUUUUCUAGAAAUAUAACCAUGGAAACCUUGGCUAACAAUUUUAUUUGAAU
This 1689-nucleotide long non-coding RNA is filed under the name Gossypium barbadense (sea-island cotton). Its description in RNAcentral is "long non-coding RNA (GBAR_LNC000221)". The record is from RNAcentral. Lineage: Eukaryota; Viridiplantae; Streptophyta; Magnoliopsida; Malvales; Malvaceae.